This 589-nucleotide ribosomal RNA is filed under the name Dothideomycetes sp. A595. RNAcentral's name for it is "SSU rRNA". It matches the Rfam family "Eukaryotic small subunit ribosomal RNA", at positions 150 to 745 of the family's 1831-position model. Lineage: Eukaryota; Fungi; Ascomycota; Dothideomycetes. The record is from RNAcentral.
UGGUAAUUCUAGAGCUAAUACAUGCUAAAAACCCCGACUCCGGGAGGGGUGUAUUUAUUAGAUAAAAAACCAAUGCCCUUCGGGGCUCCUUGGUGAAUCAUAAUAACUUAACGAAUCGCAUGGCCUUGCGCCGGCGAUGGUUCAUUCAAAUUUCUGCCCUAUCAACUUUCGAUGGUAGGAUAGUGGCCUACCAUGGUAGCAACGGGUAACGGGGAAUUAGGGUUCUAUUCCGGAGAGGGAGCCUGAGAAACGGCUACCACAUCCAAGGAAGGCAGCAGGCGCGCAAAUUACCCAAUCCCGACACGGGGAGGUAGUGACAAUAAAUACUGAUACAGGGCUCUUUUGGGUCUUGUAAUUGGAAUGAGUACAAUUUAAAUCCCUUAACGAGGAACAAUUGGAGGGCAAGUCUGGUGCCAGCAGCCGCGGUAAUUCCAGCUCCAAUAGCGUAUAUUAAAGUUGUUGCAGUUAAAAAGCUCGUAGUUGAACCUUGGGCCUGGCUGGCCGGUCCGCCUCACCGCGUGUACUGGUCCGGCCGGGCCUUUCCUUCUGGGGAGCCGCAUGCCCUUCACUGGGCGUGCCGGGGAACCAG